Molecule: ribosomal RNA, 238 nt
Filed under: uncultured bacterium
Lineage: Bacteria
Description: partial 16S ribosomal RNA
Rfam family: Bacterial small subunit ribosomal RNA
Source: RNAcentral
UAACCUGAGUAAAGUGGCGUACGGGUGAGUAACACGUGGAUAAUCUACCUCUUAGCGGGGAAUACCUCUGGGAAACCGGAGACAAUACCGCAUAAGCUCGAGAGAGGAAACCCGAAAGGGGCUGAGAGAGGAGUCCGCGGCCGAUUAGCUAGUUGGUAGGGUAAAAGCCUACCAAGGCCACGAUCGAUAGCCGGCCUGAGAGGGCACACGGCCACACUGGCACUGAAACACGGGCCAG